Molecule: ribosomal RNA, 490 nt
Filed under: uncultured bacterium
Lineage: Bacteria
Description: partial 16S ribosomal RNA
Rfam family: Bacterial small subunit ribosomal RNA
Source: RNAcentral
AUUGAACGCUGGCGGCAGGCCUAACACAUGCAAGUCGAACGGUAACAGGGAUCAGCUUGCUGAUUCGCUGACGAGUGGCGGACGGGUGAGGAAUGUCUGGGAAACUGCCUGAUGGAGGGGGAUAACUACUGGAAACGGUAGCUAAUACAGCAUAACGUCGCAAGACCAAAGAGGGGGACCUUCGGGCCUCUUGCCAUCGGAUGUGCCCAGAUGGGAUUAGCUAGUAGGUGGGGUAACGGCUCACCUAGGCGGCGAGCCCUAGCUGGUCUGAGAGGAUGACCAGCCACACUGGAACUGAGACACGGUCCACACUCCUACGGGAGGCAGCAGUGGGGAAUAUUGCACAAUGGGCGCAAGCCUGAUGCAGCCAUGCCGCGUGUAUGAAGAAGGCCUUCGGGUUGUAGAGUACUUUCAGCGGGGAGGAAGGGAGUAAAGUUAAUACCUUUGCUCAUUGACGGUACCCGCAGAAGAAGCACCGGCUAACUCCGUG